GAUGAACGCUAGCUACAGGCUUAACACAUGCAAGUCGAGGGGAAACGACAUCGAAAGCUUGCUUUUGAUGGGCGUCGACCGGCGCACGGGUGAGUAACGCGUAUCCAACCUGCCCACCACUUGGGGAUAACCUUGCGAAAGUAAGACUAAUACCCAAUGAUAUCUCAAGAAGACAUCUGAAUGAGAUUAAAGAUUUAUCGGUGAUGGAUGGGGAUGCGUCUGAUUAGCUUGUUGGCGGGGUAACGGCCCACCAAGGCGACGAUCAGUAGGGGUUCUGAGAGGAAGGUCCCCCACAUUGGAACUGAGACACGGUCCAAACUCCUACGGGAGGCAGCAGUGAGGAAUAUUGGUCAAUGGGCGAGAGCCUGAACCAGCCAAGUAGCGUGCAGGAUGACGGCCCUAUGGGUUGUAAACUGCUUUUAUAAGGGAAUAAAGUGAGCCUCGUGAGGCUUUUUGCAUGUACCUUAUGAAUAAGGACCGGCUAAUUCCGUGCCAGCAGCCGCGGUAA
RNAcentral lists this ribosomal RNA (508 nucleotides) under uncultured bacterium. RNAcentral's name for it is "partial 16S ribosomal RNA". It matches the Rfam family "Bacterial small subunit ribosomal RNA", at positions 28 to 523 of the family's 1533-position model. The record is from RNAcentral.